ACGAAAGUUUAACGACCUGCGCUCUGCAGGGGGGACGGGGUGGGGUGGUGACAGGGGAAGCGUCCGCCAGUCUCCCUCGUGUACAUCCUGCCGCUGUGGCUGAUUCCAAGCUCUUAACAUGAUGCCCCUCCACGCGGAGCUGAACAGAGACCGGCUCUCAGGGACUGGCGCGUUUUGCUUCCAGCACGCGAACCCGAGUCGUGAGUAAAUUCGCGAGUAGUCCGUCCUGGGCGCCUGGGAGACACUUGCGCACGCCUGGUGACCCAGUGUGUGUGAUGGGAGAGCUGCUCAGGCCAGAGGGUCAGACUGAAAGAAGAACUUCCUGCCAAGUGCCUAGGGAGACGCUGAGCCCAAGAAGUGGGGGGUCAGAGCCCCCUCCGGACUCCUCUCCAGACACCAGAACUUUCUGCCGCUGCAGACUUUUCAAGAGUAACCGCUUCACCUGCCGGGGGCUCUCAGACGUGGAACAGAAGCCACUGGAUGGACAAAUCACCCCGUGCUGCCCAGGCCUAAGAAUCUGGGAUUUCUACUGAGUCGAGGAAGGCGGUGCUCACAUACUCCGGCUCAGAUAGGUUGCCGGGUGCCCCAAAUUCUACCAUCAGAGCUCCAGCCAGGAUGAGCUUGCAGUCCAGGUGAAUGCUUGAAAAAAACUUUUUUAAGUUUAUUUGUUUACUUAGAGAGAGGAAGCUGGGUAAGGGCAGAGAGAGAGAGAGAGAGAGAGAGAGAGAGAAUCCCAAGCAGGCCCCGCACUGUCAGUGCAGAGACGGAUGUGGGGCUCGAACCCACAAACCGUGAGAUCGUGGCCUGAGCCUAAAUCAAGAGUCAGACGCUUAACUGACUGAGCCACCCAGGUGCCCCUGAGUGCUGUAAAAUAUAGCAUAUUGGGGCACCUGGGUGGCCCUGUCGGCUAAGCGUCCACCUUCGGCUCAGGUCACGAUCUCACGGUCCGUGAGUUCAAGCCCCGCAUCAAGGUCUGUGCUGACAGCUCAGAGCCUGGAGCCUGCUUCGGAUUCUGCGUCUCCCUCUCUCUGUCCCUCCGCUGCUGACAUUCUGUCUCUCUCUCUCUCUCUCUCUCUCUCUCAAAAAUAAACAUUAAAAACAUUGAACA
RNAcentral lists this long non-coding RNA (1108 nucleotides) under Felis catus (domestic cat). Its description in RNAcentral is "lncRNA (ENSFCAG00000052302.1)". Lineage: Eukaryota; Metazoa; Chordata; Mammalia; Carnivora; Felidae. The record is from RNAcentral.